Molecule: non-coding RNA, 367 nt
Organism: Cinara cedri
Lineage: Eukaryota; Metazoa; Arthropoda; Insecta; Hemiptera; Aphididae
Source: the annotation of a GenBank genome assembly
GCCCGAUACGAGUAGAAAAAAAAAAAAUGUCGCGUCGCCUAGAAUUCCGAAUGAAACGCUGCACUAUAAACUAUACGGGGGACGGGGAAAACGUUUAACGCGUCCGCCGACGAAAUUAAUAAUAUUAUUUACAACGAUGUAUCGCACAGUACGUCGUCAAUAAUAACGAUGAUAAUAAUUAUAAUAAUAAUAAUAAUAACACGUAUAUUGUAAUAACAUACACUCGGCGCAUUGUGUUGCGUACGGAAUUAACGCCUUCGGACGGCCUUGGGACGCGUAAGCAAAUACCAACAGGUGCAGCCAAGUCGGAAGUUUGCGGCCAGACGACGGGACACACGCCGCGCUGUAUACGCAACGCCAUUACGGC